Molecule: long non-coding RNA, 1457 nt
Organism: Coffea eugenioides
Lineage: Eukaryota; Viridiplantae; Streptophyta; Magnoliopsida; Gentianales; Rubiaceae
Exons: 2
Source: RefSeq, a predicted model, not a curated record
CGUAUAAAUUUCACCACCAAUUUUCCUAGCAAAGUACACGGUCCAGCCUUCAUUAUUUCCUCAACUCCUUCCUCUCAAUCUCAUGUUCUUACUAGAUAGGCAACCCAUAGUCAUGAAGCUACAAAGCAGCCUUAGUCAGUCUAUCGCAAAUUUACAACCAAUUCAAGGGGAAACUGAUCAGAAUUUUUUUUCACUCUCGGCCAGCUAUCCGUAGUCAAGUUUAGAAGUUAAGGGUUGCAGAGAAUAUCCAAGCUUCUUAUCAGUUUUACUCAAACGAAGCUAACAGAUUCAGCAGAUGGUGACUUAGCAGUUGAAUUUUCUCCCUUUUGUUUCUCUUCAGUUUUAUGUUCCAGCUAAAUGUGUGAAGAAUAAUGACUUAGCUACAGAUUAUCUUACGUAAAAUAUGGCAGUUUAUGACCAGGAUUUAGAAGAAAGGCUGGAUUAAACCUCAUGCCUGUACUUAGCUGCAAAAUCUGAUCCAUAGCAGCAGGCAUCAGAUUUUCCUUCGAGUUCAGUUCUCACCAUUUCGAGCUUAUCUUCUCAGGCGAGAAGUAAUCAAGAUGCCAUGCACACUAAGUAAUCAAGAUGCCAUGCACACCUUACAGACUAUCACCGGAAAUUCUAGAGUUACUCCUCCUGAUAACUAACCAAAAUGCUUCAUUCCUUCAGUCGAAGCUCAGUUUCUACAUUCUUCACAGUUUCUGCACCACUCUUUCUUGAACCAGAAGUUAAAGUUCUAACUAGGCUCAACUUAUAGCUCACAUUAAACCAAUUAUGCCAUCUAAACAGUGAGUUAUUAUGGCGAGUGUUACCUUUUUUCCUCCUUAAAGUUCGAUGUUGCAGGCUGCUCAAGUUUCUGUUUCGGCUCUUCAAUUCCUAACACUCGAUUCUCCCGUUUCCUUGCAGUACUCUUGCUUGCUUUUGGUUAGCAAGUGAUGGAGCUGGCCAAGCUUUCCCUCCCACUCUCGCACUCAGUUCUAUACUUUCAGUUCUGGUCCAGAAAGGAAGAAAGAAAACAGCAACUGUCUAGCCCGUUGCUUUCUACUUAGAAGGCUCUUGUACUCUGUUAAUUCUUUCCUUUGAAAACUUAAAGAUCAGCAGAAAAUUAUAGUGCUCGGUGGUCAAGGUUCCAGUCGGUGGUACACCCUUCUAGGCUGCUCCUGCUCAAGCCACCGCCCCAAAUUUUAACAAGUAGUUGGCUCUCUCUUGCUACUCGGUCUGCCGCUUGGAUUUGGCAGACCCUUAGCAGAGAAAUCUUUCUUUGGUCUCACUCAAUCACCGCCCAAGCCAAACUCCUAUUUAUUUUCUCAAUUCCACCGCUUAGGCUUAGUAGUUUAGGUGGACAUUUUCAUUUGAUUGUUCCUCAGCCACGGCAAAUAAUGCACCAUUACUUCCUUAGGCUGCAUGAUAGUUUAACCAAAAUCCUAAGGUUGGUUUGGUAUUUUCAUUUUAGUUCA